This 2904-nucleotide ribosomal RNA is filed under the name Escherichia coli. Its description in RNAcentral is "23S ribosomal RNA". It matches the Rfam family "Bacterial large subunit ribosomal RNA". Lineage: Bacteria; Pseudomonadati; Pseudomonadota; Gammaproteobacteria; Enterobacterales; Enterobacteriaceae. The record is from RNAcentral.
GGUUAAGCGACUAAGCGUACACGGUGGAUGCCCUGGCAGUCAGAGGCGAUGAAGGACGUGCUAAUCUGCGAUAAGCGUCGGUAAGGUGAUAUGAACCGUUAUAACCGGCGAUUUCCGAAUGGGGAAACCCAGUGUGUUUCGACACACUAUCAUUAACUGAAUCCAUAGGUUAAUGAGGCGAACCGGGGGAACUGAAACAUCUAAGUACCCCGAGGAAAAGAAAUCAACCGAGAUUCCCCCAGUAGCGGCGAGCGAACGGGGAGGAGCCCAGAGCCUGAAUCAGUGUGUGUGUUAGUGGAAGCGUCUGGAAAGGCGCGCGAUACAGGGUGACAGCCCCGUACACAAAAAUGCACAUGCUGUGAGCUCGAUGAGUAGGGCGGGACACGUGGUAUCCUGUCUGAAUAUGGGGGGACCAUCCUCCAAGGCUAAAUACUCCUGACUGACCGAUAGUGAACCAGUACCGUGAGGGAAAGGCGAAAAGAACCCCGGCGAGGGGAGUGAAAAAGAACCUGAAACCGUGUACGUACAAGCAGUGGGAGCACGCUUAGGCGUGUGACUGCGUACCUUUUGUAUAAUGGGUCAGCGACUUAUAUUCUGUAGCAAGGUUAACCGAAUAGGGGAGCCGAAGGGAAACCGAGUCUUAACUGGGCGUUAAGUUGCAGGGUAUAGACCCGAAACCCGGUGAUCUAGCCAUGGGCAGGUUGAAGGUUGGGUAACACUAACUGGAGGACCGAACCGACUAAUGUUGAAAAAUUAGCGGAUGACUUGUGGCUGGGGGUGAAAGGCCAAUCAAACCGGGAGAUAGCUGGUUCUCCCCGAAAGCUAUUUAGGUAGCGCCUCGUGAAUUCAUCUCCGGGGGUAGAGCACUGUUUCGGCAAGGGGGUCAUCCCGACUUACCAACCCGAUGCAAACUGCGAAUACCGGAGAAUGUUAUCACGGGAGACACACGGCGGGUGCUAACGUCCGUCGUGAAGAGGGAAACAACCCAGACCGCCAGCUAAGGUCCCAAAGUCAUGGUUAAGUGGGAAACGAUGUGGGAAGGCCCAGACAGCCAGGAUGUUGGCUUAGAAGCAGCCAUCAUUUAAAGAAAGCGUAAUAGCUCACUGGUCGAGUCGGCCUGCGCGGAAGAUGUAACGGGGCUAAACCAUGCACCGAAGCUGCGGCAGCGACGCUGAUGCGUUGUUGGGUAGGGGAGCGUUCUGUAAGCCUGUGAAGGUGUGCUGUGAGGCAUGCUGGAGGUAUCAGAAGUGCGAAUGCUGACAUAAGUAACGAUAAAGCGGGUGAAAAGCCCGCUCGCCGGAAGACCAAGGGUUCCUGUCCAACGUUAAUCGGGGCAGGGUGAGUCGACCCCUAAGGCGAGGCCGAAAGGCGUAGUCGAUGGGAAACAGGUUAAUAUUCCUGUACUUGGUGUUACUGCGAAGGGGGGACGGAGAAGGCUAUGUUGGCCGGGCGACGGUUGUCCCGGUUUAAGCGUGUAGGCUGGUUUUCCAGGCAAAUCCGGAAAAUCAAGGCUGAGGCGUGAUGACGAGGCACUACGGUGCUGAAGCAACAAAUGCCCUGCUUCCAGGAAAAGCCUCUAAGCAUCAGGUAACAUCAAAUCGUACCCCAAACCGACACAGGUGGUCAGGUAGAGAAUACCAAGGCGCUUGAGAGAACUCGGGUGAAGGAACUAGGCAAAAUGGUGCCGUAACUUCGGGAGAAGGCACGCUGAUAUGUAGGUGAGGUCCCUCGCGGAUGGAGCUGAAAUCAGUCGAAGAUACCAGCUGGCUGCAACUGUUUAUUAAAAACACAGCACUGUGCAAACACGAAAGUGGACGUAUACGGUGUGACGCCUGCCCGGUGCCGGAAGGUUAAUUGAUGGGGUUAGCGCAAGCGAAGCUCUUGAUCGAAGCCCCGGUAAACGGCGGCCGUAACUAUAACGGUCCUAAGGUAGCGAAAUUCCUUGUCGGGUAAGUUCCGACCUGCACGAAUGGCGUAAUGAUGGCCAGGCUGUCUCCACCCGAGACUCAGUGAAAUUGAACUCGCUGUGAAGAUGCAGUGUACCCGCGGCAAGACGGAAAGACCCCGUGAACCUUUACUAUAGCUUGACACUGAACAUUGAGCCUUGAUGUGUAGGAUAGGUGGGAGGCNNNNNNNNNUGGACGCCAGUCUGCAUGGAGCCGACCUUGAAAUACCACCCUUUAAUGUUUGAUGUUCUAACGUUGACCCGUAAUCCGGGUUGCGGACAGUGUCUGGUGGGUAGUUUGACUGGGGCGGUCUCCUCCUAAAGAGUAACGGAGGAGCACGAAGGUUGGCUAAUCCUGGUCGGACAUCAGGAGGUUAGUGCAAUGGCAUAAGCCAGCUUGACUGCGAGCGUGACGGCGCGAGCAGGUGCGAAAGCAGGUCAUAGUGAUCCGGUGGUUCUGAAUGGAAGGGCCAUCGCUCAACGGAUAAAAGGUACUCCGGGGAUAACAGGCUGAUACCGCCCAAGAGUUCAUAUCGACGGCGGUGUUUGGCACCUCGAUGUCGGCUCAUCACAUCCUGGGGCUGAAGUAGGUCCCAAGGGUAUGGCUGUUCGCCAUUUAAAGUGGUACGCGAGCUGGGUUUAGAACGUCGUGAGACAGUUCGGUCCCUAUCUGCCGUGGGCGCUGGAGAACUGAGGGGGGCUGCUCCUAGUACGAGAGGACCGGAGUGGACGCAUCACUGGUGUUCGGGUUGUCAUGCCAAUGGCACUGCCCGGUAGCUAAAUGCGGAAGAGAUAAGUGCUGAAAGCAUCUAAGCACGAAACUUGCCCCGAGAUGAGUUCUCCCUGACNNNNNNAGGGUCCUGAAGGAACGUUGAAGACGACGACGUUGAUAGGCCGGGUGUGUAAGCGCAGCGAUGCGUUGAGCUAACCGGUACUAAUGAACCGUGAGGCUUAACCUU